AUACGUAGGGUGCAAGCGUUAAUCGGAAUUACUGGGCGUAAAGCGUGCGCAGGCGGUUUUGUAAGACAAAGGUGAAAUCCCCGGGCUCAACCCGGGAACUGCCUUUGAGACUGCAAGGCUAGAGUACGGCAGGGGCGGAUGGAAUUCCGCGUGUAGCAGUGGAAUGCGUAGAUAUGCGGAGGAACACCGAUGGCGAAGGCAAUCCCCUGGGCCUGUACUGACGCCCAUGCACGAAAGCGUGGGGAGCAAACAGGAUUAGAUACCCUGGUAGUCCACGCCCUAAACGAUGUCAACUGGUUGUUGGGUCUUCAUUGACUCAGUAACGAAGCUAACGCGUGAAGUUGACCGCCUGGGGAGUACGGCCGCAAGGUUGAAACUCAAAUGAAUUGACGGGG
This 395-nucleotide ribosomal RNA is filed under the name uncultured bacterium. RNAcentral's name for it is "partial 16S ribosomal RNA". It matches the Rfam family "Bacterial small subunit ribosomal RNA", at positions 523 to 918 of the family's 1533-position model. The record is from RNAcentral.